GACGAGCGGCGGACGGGUGAGUAAUACUUAGGAAUCUACCUAGUAGUGGGGGAUAGCUCGGGGAAACUCGAAUUAAUACCGCAUACGACCUACGGGAGAAAGGGGGCAACUUGUUGCUCUCGCUAUUAGAUGAGCCUAAGUCGGAUUAGCUAGAUGGUGGGGUAAAGGCCUACCAUGGCGACGAUCUGUAGCUGGUCUGAGAGGAUGAUCAGCCACACCGGGACUGAGACACGGCCCGGACUCCUACGGGAGGCAGCAGUGGGGAAUAUUGGACAAUGGGGGAAACCCUGAUCCAGCCAUGCCGCGUGUGUGAAGAAGGCCUUUUGGUUGUAAAGCACUUUAAGCAGUGAAGAAGACUCCAUGGUUAAUACCCACGGACGAUGACAUUAGCUGCAGAAUAAGCACCGGCUAACUCUGUGCCAGCAGCCGCGGUAAUACAGAGGGUGCAAGCGUUAAUCGGAAUUACUGGGCGUAAAGGGAGCGUAGGUGGCUCGAUAAGUCAGAUGUGAAAUCCCCGGGCUCAACCUGGGAACUGCAUCUGAUACUGUUGAGCUAGAGUAUGUGAGAGGAAGGUAGAAUUCCAGGUGUAGCGGUGAAAUGCGUAGAGAUCUGGAGGAAUACCGAUGGCGAAGGCAGCCUUCUGGCAUAAUACUGACACUGAGGCUCGAAAGCGUGGGUAGCAAACAGGAUUAGAUACCCUGGUAGUCCACGCCGUAAACGAUGUCUACUAGUCGUUGGGUCCCUUGAGGACUUAGUGACGCAGCUAACGCAAUAAGUAGACCGCCUGGGGAGUACGGCCGCAAGGUUAAAACUCAAAUGAAUUGACGGGGGCCCGCACAAGCGGUGGAGCAUGUGGUUUAAUUCGAUGCAACGCGAAGAACCUUACCUGGUCUUGACAUAUCUAGAAUCCUGCAGAGAUGCGGGAGUGCCUUCGGGAAUUAGAAUACAGGUGCUGCAUGGCUGUCGUCAGCUCGUGUCGUGAGAUGUUGGGUUAAGUCCCGCAACGAGCGCAACCCUUGUCCUUAGUUACCAGCGGGUUAAGCCGGGAACUCUAAGGAUACUGCCAGUGACAAACUGGAGGAAGGCGGGGACGACGUCAAGUCAUCAUGGCCCUUACGACCAGGGCUACACACGUGCUACAAUGGUAGGUACAGAGGGCAGCUACACAGCGAUGUGAUGCGAAUCUCAAAAAGCCUAUCGUAGUCCGGAUUGGAGUCUGCAAC
RNAcentral lists this ribosomal RNA (1223 nucleotides) under Psychrobacter sp. DAB_AL32B. RNAcentral describes it as "bacterial SSU rRNA". It matches the Rfam family "Bacterial small subunit ribosomal RNA", at positions 90 to 1311 of the family's 1533-position model. Lineage: Bacteria; Pseudomonadati; Pseudomonadota; Gammaproteobacteria; Moraxellales; Moraxellaceae. The record is from RNAcentral.